UCUGGUGACUAUAGCGGUGGGGAAACACCUCUUCCCAUUCCGAACAGAGAAGUUAAGCCCACCCGCGCUGAUGGUACUGUCCCGCUUUAAGGGAUGGGAGAGUAAGUCGUCACCAGCA
Molecule: ribosomal RNA, 118 nt
Filed under: Caldithrix sp.
Lineage: Bacteria; Pseudomonadati; Calditrichota; Calditrichia; Calditrichales; Calditrichaceae
Source: RNAcentral